GGGGCUGAGCGGUGCUAUACUGCAGUCGAGCGGACGGAUGGGAGCUUGCUCCCUGAAGUCAGCGGCGGACGGGUGAGUAACACGUGGGCAACCUGCCUGUAAGACUGGGAUAACUCCGGGAAACCGGGGGUAAUACCGGAUAACUCUUUUCCUCACAUGAGGAAAAGCUGAAAGAUGGUUUCGGCUAUCACUUACAGAUGGGCCCGCGGCGCAUUAGCUAGUUGGUGAGGUAACGGCUCACCAAGGCCACGAUGCGUAGCCGACCUGAGAGGGUGAUCGGCCACACUGGGACUGAGACACGGCCCAGACUCCUACGGGAGGCAGCAGUAGGGAAUCUUCCGCAAUGGACGAAAGUCUGACGGAGCAACGCCGCGUGAGUGAUGAAGGUUUUCGGAUCGUAAAACUCUGUUGUCAGGGAAGAACAAGUACCGGAGUAACUGCCGGUACCUUGACGGUACCUGACCAGAAAGCCACGGCUAACUACGUGCCAGCAGCCGCGGUAAUACGUAAGUGUCAAGCGUUGUCCGGAAUUAUUGGGCGUAAAGCGCGCGCAGGCGGAUCCUUAAGUCUGAUGUGAAAGCCCCCGGCUCAACCGGGGAGGGUCAUUGGAAACUGGGGAACUUGAGUGCACAGGAGAAGAGUGGAAUUCCACGUGUAGCGGGGAAAUGCGUAGAGAUGUGGAGGAACACCAGUGGCGAAGGCGACUCUUUGGACUGUAACUGACGCUGAGGCACCAAAGCGUGGGGACCAACAGGAUUAAAUACCCUGGUAGGCCACCCCGAAACGAUAAUUGCUAAGUGUUAAAGGCUUCCGCCCUUUAUUGCUGCCCCAACCGAUUAAGCCCUCCGCCUGGGGAAAACCGCCCCAAGGUUAAACCUCAAGGAAUUU
This 888-nucleotide ribosomal RNA is filed under the name Cytobacillus firmus. RNAcentral's name for it is "bacterial SSU rRNA". It matches the Rfam family "Bacterial small subunit ribosomal RNA", at positions 32 to 911 of the family's 1533-position model. The record is from RNAcentral. Lineage: Bacteria; Bacillati; Bacillota; Bacilli; Caryophanales; Bacillaceae.